RNAcentral lists this ribosomal RNA (506 nucleotides) under uncultured bacterium. Its description in RNAcentral is "partial 16S ribosomal RNA". It matches the Rfam family "Bacterial small subunit ribosomal RNA", at positions 29 to 523 of the family's 1533-position model. The record is from RNAcentral.
AGUGAACGCUGGCGGUAGGCCUAACACAUGCAAGUCGAACGGCAGCACAGGAGAGCUUGCUCUCUGGGUGGCGAGUGGCGGACGGGUGAGGAAUACAUCGGAAUCUACUCUGUCGUGAGGGAUAACGUAGGGAAACCUACGCUAAUACCGCAUACGACCUACGGGUGAAAGCAGGGGACCUUCGGGCCUUGCGCGAUUGAAUGAGCCGAUGUCGGAUUAGCUAGUUGGCGGGGUAAAGGCCCACCAAGGGGACGAUCCGUAGCUGGUCUGAGAGGAUGAUCAGCCACACUGGAACUGAGACACGGUCCAGACUCCUACGGGAGGCAGCAGUGGGGAAUAUUGGACAAUGGGCGCAAGCCUGAUCCAGCCAUACCGCGUGGGUGAAGAAGGCCUUCGGGUUGUAAAGCCCUUUUGUUGGGAAAGAAAUCCAGCUGGCUAAUACCCGGUUGGGAUGACGGUACCCAAAGAAUAAGCACCGGCUAACUUCGUGCCAGCAGCCGCCGUAA